RNAcentral lists this ribosomal RNA (510 nucleotides) under uncultured bacterium. RNAcentral's name for it is "partial 16S ribosomal RNA". It matches the Rfam family "Bacterial small subunit ribosomal RNA", at positions 29 to 507 of the family's 1533-position model. The record is from RNAcentral.
UACGAACGCUGGCGGCGUGCUUAACACAUGCAAGUCGAACGAAGAGCGAUGGAAGCUUGCUUCUAUCAAUCUUAGUGGCGAACGGGUGAGUAACGCGUAAUCAACCUGCCCUUCAGAGGGGGACAACAGUUGGAAACGACUGCUAAUACCGCAUACGAUCUAAUCUCGGCAUCGAGGAUAGAUGAAAGGUGGCCUCUACAUGUAAGCUAUCACUGAAGGAGGGGAUUGCGUCUGAUUAGCUAGUUGGAGGGGUAACGGCCCACCAAGGCGAUGAUCAGUAGCCGGUCUGAGGGGAGGGGCGGCCACAAUGGGACCGAGACACGGCCCAGACUCCUACAGGAGGGAGCAGGGGGGAAACUUCCGCAAUGGACGAAAGUCUGACGGAGCAACGCCGCGUGAGUGAUGACGGCCUUCGGGUUGUAAAGCUCUGUUAAUCGGGGCGAAAGGCCUUCUUGCGAAUAGUGAGAAGGAUUGACGGUACCGGAAUAGAAAGCCACGGCUAACUACGUG